GGCUCAAUGGUCUAGUAGCAUGAUACCUCCUUCGGGCAUGAGUCCCCCAUCAAAAGCGUGGAAAAAUGGAGGUGGUCCCGGGUUCAAUUCCCGGUUGAGCCC
Non-coding RNA from Arthromyces matolae, 102 nucleotides. The record is from the annotation of a GenBank genome assembly. Lineage: Eukaryota; Fungi; Basidiomycota; Agaricomycetes; Agaricales; Lyophyllaceae.